Molecule: ribosomal RNA, 425 nt
Filed under: uncultured bacterium
Lineage: Bacteria
Description: partial 16S ribosomal RNA
Rfam family: Bacterial small subunit ribosomal RNA
Source: RNAcentral
GUGGGGAAUAUUGCACAAUGGGGGAAACCCUGAUGCAGCGACGCCGCGUGAGUGAUGAAGUAUUUCGGUAUGUAAAGCUCUAUCAGCAGGGAAGAUAAUGACGGUACCUGACUAAGAAGCACCGGCUAAAUACGUGCCAGCAGCCGCGGUAAUACGUAUGGUGCAAGCGUUAUCCGGAUUUACUGGGUGUAAAGGGUGCGUAGGUGGCAAGGCAAGUCUGAAGUGAAAAUCCGGGGCUCAACCCCGGAACUGCUUUGGAAACUGUUUAGCUGGAGUACAGGAGAGGUAAGUGGAAUUCCUAGUGUAGCGGUGAAAUGCGUAGAUAUUAGGAGGAACACCAGUGGCGAAGGCGACUUACUGGACUGCUACUGACACUGAGGCACGAAAGCGUGGGGAGCAAACAGGAUUAGAUACCCGUGUAGUCC